UAUCUUAACUGAAAACCAUUCUAUUCAGAAUGAGGAAUGUAUAAUACUUUAAUUAACCUUAUGCAGUAUAAUUUCCAUAAUCUAAUUUAUAACCAUAUAUGUUAGCAUUUGUCUUUAUGGUCAUCUAAGUAGUUAAAAAGAAAUGCAACCGCGGCAAUUAAUUGGACUUUGCGGUUAAAAAACGUUACUUUCCAACGUGUUAACUGUUGGAAUUCAGCUAAAUAUACACAACGUGUUGUGUAUUUUUCUGAUCAAGUCAAUAAUUGUGAGAUAACACACAGUGUCUUUUCACAGAUGAAAGAAAACUGCUCACCAGCGUUCUUUGCCUGACUACCUAGAUAUUUCCACCAAAUUCUGCUCAGUGAGAGAGAAGUGGACCCAAACACCUUCCUCCCUGGUGAGCGGAUGUUUCAACGUGGAUCAGCCGAGCUGUCACAGCUGAUCCAACCUGACUCACACACAAUUUGAAUAAAAUCAUAUCCACAAACA
Poecilia reticulata (guppy) is the source of this 489-nucleotide long non-coding RNA. RefSeq lists it as uncharacterized. NCBI's taxonomy places the organism in Eukaryota, Metazoa, Chordata, Actinopteri, Cyprinodontiformes, Poeciliidae. The record is from RefSeq and is a predicted model, not a curated record.